CCCUUAGAUGUUCUGGGCGGCCCGCGCACUACAUUGGCACUCUCAAUCAGAGCCUAGAUCAAAAACUUUGGGGUAUUCUAUGAAGAGGUGUCGUGACUGGGAUUAACCCUUGCAAUUAUUGGUUACGAACGAGGAAUUCCUUGUAAUCGCGGUUUAUCAGCCCGCGUUGAAUGCGUCCCUGCCCUUUGUACACACCGCCCGUCGCACCUACCGAUUGAAUGGUCCGGUGAAAUCUCGGGACGGCGGCUUGGUCGCUUGCGUCCGACUGCUGAAACUUGAUUAAACCAUAUCAUUUAGAGGAAGGUGAAGUCGUAACA
This 317-nucleotide ribosomal RNA is filed under the name uncultured eukaryote. Its description in RNAcentral is "partial 18S ribosomal RNA". It matches the Rfam family "Eukaryotic small subunit ribosomal RNA", at positions 1470 to 1796 of the family's 1831-position model. The record is from RNAcentral.